AAAGUAGUGUUGAAAUAAUCAUAUGAUCUUGUCAAGAUCAAAUUGCAGAAAUGCCUACUUUU
This 62-nucleotide transfer RNA is filed under the name Celleporella hyalina. RNAcentral describes it as "tRNA-Asp". The record is from RNAcentral. Lineage: Eukaryota; Metazoa; Bryozoa; Gymnolaemata; Cheilostomatida; Hippothoidae.